UACGUAGGUGGCAAGCGUUGUCCGGAAUUACUGGGUGUAAAGCGCGUGUAGGCGGGAGGCCAAGUCUGCUGUGAAAUCGCCCGGCCCAACUGGGCGGGGUCGGUGGAAACUGGUCACCUGGAGGACGGUAGAGGCGAGUGGAAUUCCCGGUGUAGUGGUGAAAUGCGUAGAGAUCGGGAGGAACACCAGUGGCGAAGGCGGCUCGCUGGGCCGGACCUGACGCUGAGACGCGAAGGCGUGGGGAGCGAACGGG
RNAcentral lists this ribosomal RNA (253 nucleotides) under uncultured bacterium. Its description in RNAcentral is "partial 16S ribosomal RNA". It matches the Rfam family "Bacterial small subunit ribosomal RNA", at positions 524 to 776 of the family's 1533-position model. The record is from RNAcentral.